RNAcentral lists this ribosomal RNA (403 nucleotides) under uncultured bacterium. Its description in RNAcentral is "partial 16S ribosomal RNA". It matches the Rfam family "Bacterial small subunit ribosomal RNA", at positions 28 to 526 of the family's 1533-position model. The record is from RNAcentral.
GACGAACGCUGGCGGCGUGCCUAAUACAUGCAAGUCGAACGCAGUGGGGACGGGUGCGUAACACGUGGGUAACCUCCCAUCAGAGGGGAUAACACUUGGCAACAGGUGCUAAACCGAUACUGAUGGAUGGACCCGCGGUGCAUUAGCUAGUUGGUGAGGUAACGGCUCACCAGAGCCACGAUGCAUAGCCGACCUGGUAGGGGGAUCGGCCACACUGGGACUGGAGCCAGGCCCAGACUCCUAAGGGAGGCAGCAGUAGGGAAUCUUCGUCAAUGGGCGAAAGUCUGACCGAGCAACGCCGCGUGAGUGAAGAAGGUUUUCGGAGCGUUAAGCUUUGUUGUUAAGGGAGCGGUACUUAACCAGAAAGGGACGGCUAACUACGUGCCAGCAGCCGCGGUAAUUC